RNAcentral lists this ribosomal RNA (1436 nucleotides) under uncultured organism. Its description in RNAcentral is "SSU rRNA". It matches the Rfam family "Bacterial small subunit ribosomal RNA". The record is from RNAcentral.
ACGCUGGCGGCGUGCUUAACACAUGCAAGUCGAACCAUUAUAUUUAGAAUGAGAGCUUCGGCAGGAUUUUUAUCUAUCUUAGUGGCGGACGGGUGAGUAACGUGUGGGCAACCUGCCCUGUACUGGGGAAUAAUCAUUGGAAACGAUGACUAAUACCGCAUGUGGUCCUCGGAAGGCAUCUUCUGAGGAAGAAAGGAUUUAUUCGGUACAGGAUGGGCCCGCAUCUGAUUAGCUAGUUGGUGAGAUAACAGCCCACCAAGGCGACGAUCAGUAGCCGACCUGAGAGGGUGAUCGGCCACAUUGGGACUGAGACACGGCCCAAACUCCUACGGGAGGCAGCAGUGGGGAAUAUUGCACAAUGGGCGAAAGCCUGAUGCAGCAACGCCGCGUGAAGGAUGAAGGGUUUCGGCUCGUAAACUUCUAUCAAUAGGGAAGAAACAAAUGACGGUACCUAAAUAAGAAGCCCCGGCUAACUACGUGCCAGCAGCCGCGGUAAUACGUAGGGGGCAAGCGUUAUCCGGAAUUACUGGGUGUAAAGGGAGCGUAGGCGGCAUGGUAAGCCAGAUGUGAAAGCCUUGGGCUUUAACCCGAAGAAUUGCAUUUUGAAACUAUCAAGCUAGAGUACAGGAGAGGAAAGCGGAAUUCCUAGUGUAGCGGUGAAAUGCGUAGAUAUUAGGAAGAACACCAGUGGCGAAGGCGGCUUUCUGGACUGAAACUGACGCUGAGGCUCGAAAGCGUGGGGAGCAAACAGGAUUAGAUACCCUGGUAGUCCACGCCGUAAACGAUGAGUGCUAGGUGUCGGGGAGGAAUCCUCGGUGCCGCAGCUAACGCAAUAAGCACUCCACCUGGGGAGUACGACCGCAAGGUUGAAACUCAAAGGAAUUGACGGGGGCCCGCACAAGCGGUGGAGCAUGUGGUUUAAUUCGAAGCAACGCGAAGAACCUUACCAAGGCUUGACAUCCCGAUGACCGUCCUAGAGAUAGGACUUCUCUUCGGAGCAUCGGUGACAGGUGGUGCAUGGUUGUCGUCAGCUCGUGUCGUGAGAUGUUGGGUUAAGUCCCGCAACGAGCGCAACCCUUAUCUUCAGUACCCAUCAUUCAGUUGGGCACUCUGGAGAGACUGCCGUGGAUAACACGGAGGAAGGUGGGGAUGACGUCAAAUCAUCAUGCCCCUUAUGUCUUGGGCUACACACGUGCUACAAUGGCUGGUAACAAAGUGAUGCGAGACGGCGACGUUAAGCAAAUCACAAAAACCCAGUCCCAGUUCGGAUUGUAGUCUGCAACUCGACUACAUGAAGCUGGAAUCGCUAGUAAUCGCGAAUCAGCAUGUCGCGGUGAAUACGUUCCCGGGCCUUGUACACACCGCCCGUCACACCAUGGGAGUUGGAAGCACCCGAAGUCGGAGACCUAACCGUAAGGAAGGAGCCGCCGAAGGUG